This 137-nucleotide non-coding RNA is filed under the name Candidatus Parcubacteria bacterium. Lineage: Bacteria; Candidatus Parcubacteria. The record is from RNAcentral.
UAUAAUAGAAAUGUUUUUAAUAAUUUAAUAGUUUUGUGAUUGGGGAAGUGAGGUGUAAAUCCUCCACAGUGCCGCUACGGUAAUCCCGAGUAAAAUCGAGGGAAAGUCCGAAUACCAAUCAUAAAGUAAGUCCCGAG